AACUAGGUACUCGGAGGACAUUACGAGUAACAGGGGAGUUGUAGCUGGCCGCAAGGCAUGUGCACGCUCUCUACUCAAUCCAACCUUACACCUGUGCACCUAUUGUAGGUCGAGUGGCUGGACUUGUUCUGGUCGCUCUUCCUAUGUUUUACACAUACACUUGUAGUCUCAGAAUGUAAUCCGCGUAUAACGCAUUAUAAAACAACUUUCAACAACGGAUCUCUUGGCUCUCGCAUCGAUGAAGAACGCAGCGAAAUGCGAUAAGUAAUGUGAAUUGCAGAAUUCAGUGAAUCAUCGAAUCUUUGAACGCACCUUGCGCUCCUUGGUAUUCCGAGGAGCAUGCCUGUUUGAGUGUCAUGAAUAUCUCAACUCAUCCGGUUUUUAUUAACUGUGGUGGGCUUGGACUUGGAGGUAUGCUGGCUGACUAGUCGGCUCCUCUCUAAAUGUAUUAGCUGGACCUGUUACGGAUCAGUACUCGGUGUGAUAAUUGUCUACGCCGUGUCUGUGAAGUGCUUGAAUGGACUAGCUUCUAACCGUCUUCGGACAACUACUGACAUUUUGACCUCAAAUCAGGUAGGAUUACCCGCUGAACUUAAGCAUAUCAAAAACCGGGGAAGAAA
This 620-nucleotide ribosomal RNA is filed under the name Gloeophyllum sepiarium. RNAcentral describes it as "eukaryotic LSU rRNA". The stretch from base 204 to 357 matches the Rfam family "5.8S ribosomal RNA". Lineage: Eukaryota; Fungi; Basidiomycota; Agaricomycetes; Gloeophyllales; Gloeophyllaceae. The record is from RNAcentral.